This 1061-nucleotide ribosomal RNA is filed under the name marine metagenome. Its description in RNAcentral is "bacterial LSU rRNA". It matches the Rfam family "Bacterial large subunit ribosomal RNA", at positions 1597 to 2644 of the family's 2925-position model. The record is from RNAcentral.
AUUCCAUACUUCCAAGAAAAACUUCUAGUUAGUUUUAUUAGUGCCCGUACCCCAAACCGACACAGGUGGACAAGUAGAGAAUACUAAGGCGAGCGAGAGAACUCUGGUUAAGGAACUCGGCAAAAUAGUUCCGUAACUUCGGGAGAAGGAACGCCCAAGUAAAGUGAUUAAUUAACUUUAUAAGCUUGAACGGGCCGCAGUGAUCAGACUCAAGCGACUGUUUAUCAAAAACACAGGAGGGUGCAAAGUUCUAAUACAACGUAUACCCUCUGACACCUGCCCGGUGCUGGAAGGUUAAGUGGAGAGGUUAGCUUCGGCGAAGCUUUGAAAUUAAGCCCCAGUAAACGGCGGCCGUAACUAUAACGGUCCUAAGGUAGCGAAAUUCCUUGUCGGGUAAGUUCCGACCUGCACGAAUGGUGUAACGAUUUGAGUACUGUCUCAACCAGAGACUCGGCGAAAUUGCAAUGUGAGUAAAGAUGCUCACUAUGCGCGACAGGACGGAAAGACCCCGGAACCUUUACUGCAACUUGAUAUUGAAUGUUGGUGUGCAGUAUGCAGGAUAAGUGGGAGACUUUGAAACAAUCACGCUAGUGGUUGUGGAGUCAUCCUUGAGAUACCACUUUCUUCAUAUUGACCUUCUAACCUAGAUCCGUUAUCCGGAUCAGGGACAUUGUCUGGUAGGCAGUUUCACUGGGGCGGUGGCCUCCUAAAAAGUAACGGAGGCGCUCAAAGGUCACCUCAGCGUGGACGGCAAUCACGCAUUGAGUGUAAGUGCAAAAGGUGGCUUGACUGUGACACAAACAAGUGAAGCAGGUACGAAAGUAGGAACUAGUGAUCCCAUGGUUGCAUGUGGGUGCGCCAUGGCUCAUCGGCUAAAAGGUACUCCGGGGAUAACAGGCUUAUACCCCCCAAGAGUCCAUAUCGACGGGGGUGUUUGGCACCUCGAUGUCGGCUCUUCUCAUCCUGGGGCUGGAGCAGGUCCCAAGGGUUAGGCUGUUCGCCUAUUAAAGAGGAACGCGAGCUGGGUUCAGAACGUCGUGAGACAGUUCGGUCCCUAUCCG